AUUCCAUGCACAAAACACAUGUAUAAUUCCAUAUGAGGUAUUCCGAAUAUUAAUGAUAAUAAGUAUUUGAAUAUAGUUGCAGGACGCAUAAUCCCAACAUCUCCCACUUGUCCAAAACGAUCAUUCAAAAAAUUCGUAAACCCAUAGCUUGAACAUGUUUACCAAAUACCACCUGACUAAGUGACUUAGUCAAGGGAUCAGCAACCAUAUCAGUACUAGGUAGAAACUCUAAAGAAACAGACUUAAGUAUAUUAAUUACACCACGUAUAUAGUGAUACCUUCCCUCAAUAUGUUUGAUCUUGCUGUGGAACUUGGGAUAUCUGGAAACCUUUAUUGCAGCCUCAUUAUCACAAUACACCACCACUGGUUUGCUAGCACUUUCAACAAUCUUCAAAGUCGAAAGAAAUUCCUUCAGCCACUUCCUUCAGCCACACCGCCUCCUUCACAGCUUCUGACGCAGCAAUAUACUCCGCCUCCAUGGAAGAUAAUGCCACUGAAUCUUGCUUCUUACUACUCCAAGAUAUAGCGCCACCAGCUAAUGUAAAUAGAUACCCACACGUAGACUUCCGGUCAUCCAGAUCACCCUGCCAAUCAGCAUCAGUAUAGCCCUGCAACUGUAGAUCCGUUUGGUUAAAACAGAGUGAAUAAUCUAGUGUUCCUUGAACAUAACGAAGAGCAUGCUUAAUUUGAUUCCAAUGCCCAAUUCCUGGAUUCAUUUGAUAUCUACUCAACACUCCAACAGUAUAGCACAAAUCAGGGCGUGUGAAUAAAAUGGCAUACAUCAAAGAUCCCAAGGCAGAAGCAUAUGGAGUCUUCUCCAUUCUCUUCUUUUCCUCGGGAGUUUUAGGACACAUCCCCUCACUGAGUUUAAUUCCUACAGCCAUGGGCACUAAAGCAGGCUUGCAGUUUUCCAUAGAGAAACGUUUAAGAACAGAUUUUAAAUAAUUCCUUUCAGACAAACCCAAAGUACCUUUAUUCCGAUCUCUAAGUAUUUCCACUCCUAGAACAUAGGAAGCGUUUCCCAUAUCUUUCAUUUCAAAUGUAGAAGAUAACCAAGUUUUAACUUCUACCAACAUUUCCUUACUACUAGAAGCAAUAAGUAUAUCAUCAACAUAAAGUGACAAGAGUGUAAAAUUUCCUCCCACUAUUUUAAAAUAAAUGCAAUGAUCUCCUUCCAUCAUAGAAAACCCAUAUGAUGUGAUAGCAUCAUCAAACAAAAUAUUCCAUUGUCGUGAAGUUUGCCUAAGACCAUAAAUAGAUCUAUUUAGCUUACACACUUUUCCCUGAUUUUCCUUUUCAACAAAACCAUCAGGUUGAGACAUAUAAAUCUCUUCCUUCAAAUGACCAUUCAAGAAGGCAGUUUUAACAUCCAUUUGAUGAAGUUCCAGAUCAAAAUAAGCAGUCAACGCAGCAAUAAUACGAAUAGAAGUAAAUUUUGCUACAGGGGAAAAAAUUUCAACAAAGUCAACGCCUUCCUUUUGUGUGUACCCUUUAGCAACCAACCUAGCUUUGUAUUUUUCAACAUUACCAGAAGCAUUCAGUUUCCUUUUAAAAAUCCACUUUGAUCCAAUUGCCUUUCGGUCAUUAGGAAGAUCAACCAAUUCAAUUCCCAAACUUUAUUUUUUUUUUCAUGGAGUAUAGUUCCUCACGCAUGGCUUCCAUCCAUAACUUUGAUUCUGAACAAGACAUGGCAUGUUUAAAAGAUUUUGGUUCUUCCUCCAAACUAGAAGUUUUAGAGUAUACUUCCCCCAUAAAUACAUAAUAAUCAUCAAGGUAUUAUGGGGCUGCUACAUUCCUCCCACUUCUCCUAGGUAAACUAGUUAUGGGAGUCUCAACAUUUACGUUGCCAUCCAUUUGGUUUUCCUGAUUGUUAGAAUCAGUUUCAACAUUAGUAUCUAACGGGCUUGUCAAUAAUUCCACUCUCGCACGUUUUGCACGGCGAGGUGUAUCUUGAUCUAGAAAAAUUGCAUCUCUACUUUCAAUUAACUUCUUCUUCUCUGGAUCAUAAAAUCUAUGUCCAUUUGAACCAGAAGCAUAUCCAAUAAAUAUUCCUGGAAAACUCUUAGGUUCCAGUUUUGUUCUUAGUUGACUAGGUACUCUAAUCUGUGCAUUGCAUCCCCACACUGCUAAGUUCAACAAUGUAGGUUUCCUCCCUUUCCAUAAUUCAUAAGGAGUAGAACUAACAGAUUUAGAAGGUGAAUGAUUAAGCAAGUAAACAGCAGUAUGAAGAGCCUCUCCCCAAAAUGAUAAAGGAAGAUCUGAAUAUGCCAUCAUAGACCUAACCAUGUCCAUUAAAGUUCUAUUCCUCCUUUCAGCUACGCCAUUUUGCUGAGGAGUAUAUGGUAAGGUAUAAUGGUGAAUAAUUCCAUUUUCCUUGCAAAAACCAUCUAAUAUUCCUGAUGUGUAUUCACCACCAUGAUCAGUUCUAAGCACCUUGAUCUUUUUGUUCAACUGAUUUUCUACCUCGGCUUUAAAUAACUUGAACAUGUCAAAACCUUCCGACUUAUGCUUAAUUAAGUAAACAUAGCCGUAUCUAGAGAAAUCAUCUAUAAAAGUAAUGAAAUAGACCUUCUGCCCAAAUGUAGGUAUAGGCAUCUCACCACAAAUAUCUGAAUGAACAAUAGCAAGUGGUUCAGUAGACCUUGAAGCUUUAGGAAAAGGCGCCCUGGUCAUUUUUCCUACAACACAUGCCUCACAAAUGGCGUAGUCUUCCCACUUGAAGUUUAAAAAUCCAGAACUAAUUAGCCUUUUAAUUAUGUUCUUUGAGAUAUGACCCAAACGAAGAUGCCAGAGAUAUGAUUCUGAACAAUUAUUGCUUCCAUCUAUAUUCCUCACUAUCGAGUUCUGUUCAGUCACCAUACAAUCCAUCCUAUCGAUGUCCAUAAAAUCCUCAAUAUAGUAGAGACCAUAAAAUCUAUUUCCUGAUUGAACUAAAUUUCCAUUCAUCAGUAUUUUAACUUUGCCAUCUCCAAAUAAGACCUUAAAACCUAUAGAUUCCAGUCUAGAAACAGAGAUUAAAUUCUUUCUCAUGCUAGGGGAAUAGACUGUGUCUUUCAAAAUUAAUUUUCCUCCAUCGGGGAGUUUGAGUGUAUAAUCACCUAUGCCCAAGAUAUCAUCUUUUGCAGUUGUUCCUAGAUAAAUAAAUCUAGUUCCUUUCAGUAUGGGUUUUAAAGAGGUGAAACCAGCACUAUUCCUUGCAAUAUGCGAAGUGGAACCAGAGUGUACUACCCAAUGAUCUGAAGCUGAAGUAGUAAACAAUGAUUCAGAACAAACAAAUAGAUUGUACGUACCAUCAGGAGAAGAGUUAUCCUUCUUGUUGCCCUGAUGCUUGUCCUGAUGCUGCUUCUUAGACUUUUCAUCUUGUUUAUAAGGCUUCUUAUUCUUGCACUCAGUUCUAAAAUGCCCAUACUCUCCACAACCAUGACAUCUAAAUUUCCUCUUAUCAAAACUAGAGUUUGGACCUCUUCCAUUAUGAUCUUCCCAGUUUCUCUUCCUGUUGAUUUUGUCCCUCAAAUCACCUCCUUGAUUCUUCUUCUGCCAACGCCUCCUAUCUUCACCAAGGUGUAACUCCUGAUGAUGUGAGUGUGUCUCUUUACCUUGUGAAGUUUUCCUAUCUUCUUCCAUGAGCAAAUGAUGCCUCAAAUUGCGCAUGUUCAGUAAUCUUUCAGAGUGGCAGAAUGAUAUUUUAAAUUGUUCCCAAGUGUGCGGAAGUGAGUUCACAGCCACCAUUACUUGCACCUCCUCAGAAAAGGGAUAGCCAUCAUUUUUCAAUUCCUCAUUCAGCACGCACAACUUGUUUAAGUGCUCAUUGACAGAAGUAGUAUCUGUCAUCUUAGACGUCAAGAAUCUGUUCAGCAAACUAAGCACUUUGAUUAAAGAAACUUCACCAAAAUCCUCUUCCAGCCUUCUCAUAAUUCUGUGUGCAGCAACCUCUGUUUCAUAUUCACCUGCCAACGAAUCAGACAUGGAGCCAAGAAUAAAAAUCCUAGCCUUUUUAUUGUCCUUAUUCCACUCCUUGAGUUCUUCUGCAUAAUUAUCCUUUUCCUCAUCUGAAGCAUCAUCAGCAGGUUUGUUAGGCUCGGCUGUAGAAAUUACAUACUCAAUAUUCUCAGCUGUAAGGAGAAACAUCAUCUUCCUUUUCCAAACAGUGUAAUUUGUGCCAUCUAAUUUGUAAUUCCUGAGCAACUCAGCAAACACGCUAUUGGAAGCCAUCUAUCCACAAAUUUCAAAACAGAAAAAAUUCCUUUGGUGGUGUUGAACCGGAGCAGCAGUAACAGAUGAGAGGCCUGACAAAUUCCGAGCAGUCGUUCGUGGAUAGCUCGUGUACCUGAGGACUCGUCGAGGUGGAUGGCUUGGAGCGGUGACGGGCGGCUGGACGAGAGCUUCCGGCGGAGUGUGGAUGGAGAUCGGGCCGCCGGCGGAGUCGCUGUCGGCGAGGCGAGAGUGCGGCGCGGCGAGGCGAGAGUGCGGCAUGGCGAGGCGACAAUGCGGCGCGGCGCGGCGAGGCGACAGUGCGGCACGGCAGGACGACAGUGCGGCCGCGCGAGACGGGAACGGCGAGGCGAGACGAGAAAAUCGAUCUGGAGCGAUUCCUUUGCGGCGGAGCGCACACGAGAUCAAUCUAAUCCAAGUUGGACUUGUGAGCGACUAGUUGACCACAAGCAGAGUACGCAGUGGAAUUGUUUUCCGAUCGAAUCGAGUCAUACGACUAUUGUCGUUAACCCUAAUCCGCUCUGAUACCAAUGUUAGAAAUAUGUUGUGGUUUAUCCCCUAUUUUUCCGUGCUUUUCCGUAAUGCCGCUCACAAUCGCAUAUCCGAUGCUAGGGGAUAGGGACCUUCUUAUACUGUGUUUUUAAAGAGUCCACCUCUUAUACAGUUAUAAGAUUCCUAGUCUUUAAACUAGUUUUCGGAUAGAGUCCAAAUCAAACUACCAACCACGAUAUAAUUUGUCUAUUAGUGGAUCCUAUCCAUCGAGUCCCUGAAGCACGCGUCUGUGAGCAACGCGUCAUAAUAGAGUAUAAAUUCCUCUAAUUAUGUAGAUCAACAUUAGGGCCGUAAUCUAAUUACACGAUCUAGCUUCUUCCAAUUAUCAGCGUACCCGGGUAGUCUUUCCAAUAUAUAAAGCAUAUUGUAUUCCACCGAUAAUUGACCGGUUUCCUUAAGCAUGCAACAGUUAAAUACAUUCCAGCAAGAGCAAUUCCAUGCACAAAACAUAUGUAUAAUUCCAUAUGAGGUAUUCCGAAUAUUAAUGAUAAUAAGUAUUUGAAUAUAGUUGCAGGACACAUAAUCCCAACAAGUUUUAGGAGAACUAUAAUCCUCACGGCAAAUGUCGCAGCGCGCGUGAUCAAGCUAGUAUUAGGAGAAUUUUAGCCCUCACAACAAUAAGCUCACACAUAUACACUAUAUUCUUCACUGCGUUGAUUUUGUAAGCUA
Molecule: long non-coding RNA, 5433 nt
Filed under: Triticum aestivum (bread wheat)
Lineage: Eukaryota; Viridiplantae; Streptophyta; Magnoliopsida; Poales; Poaceae
Description: long non-coding RNA (TAES_LNC009950)
Source: RNAcentral